This 487-nucleotide ribosomal RNA is filed under the name Heptacarpus futilirostris. Its description in RNAcentral is "partial 16S ribosomal RNA". It matches the Rfam family "Bacterial large subunit ribosomal RNA", at positions 1847 to 2588 of the family's 2925-position model. Lineage: Eukaryota; Metazoa; Arthropoda; Malacostraca; Decapoda; Hippolytidae. The record is from RNAcentral.
AAACAAUAUAACCUGCCCACUGGCUAUUUGCUAAAGGGCCGCGGUAUACCUGACCGUGCGAAGGUAGCAUAAUCAAUAGUCUUUUAAUUGGAGGCUGGAAUGAAUGGUUGCACGAGAAGAAAGCUGUCUCUUCUUUAAGAAUUGAAUUUUACUUUUAAGUGAGAAGGCUUAAAUAAGUUGAGGGGACGAUAAGACCCUAUAAAAUUUUAUAAUUUAUUAUUAUUUCAUAAAUUUUUAGUUUAACUUGGGUUAAUUAUAAUAUUAUUGGGUUGGGGCGACUAUUAUAUAAUUUUAAUAACUGUAUUCUAAAUUAAUAAUUCUGUUUAGUUAAUUGAUCCUUUUUUAAAGAUUAAAAGAUUAAGUUACUUUAGGGAUAACAGCGUGAUUUUUUCAAAGAGUCCAUAUCGAUGAAAUUAGUUGCGACCUCGAUGUUGAAUUAAAAUUUCUAUAAAGUGUAGCAGCUUUAUAAGUUGGUCUGUUCGACCAU